This 428-nucleotide ribosomal RNA is filed under the name uncultured prokaryote. Its description in RNAcentral is "bacterial SSU rRNA". It matches the Rfam family "Bacterial small subunit ribosomal RNA", at positions 355 to 774 of the family's 1533-position model. The record is from RNAcentral.
UGGGGAAUUUUGCGCAAUGGGCGAAAGCCUGACGCAGCAACGCCGCGUGGAGGAUGAAGGUGCUCUGCAUUGUAAACUCCUGUCGGCCGGGAAGAAUCGGCGGGGUGCUAAUCAGCCCCGUCUUGACUGUACCGGCAAAGGAAGCCCCGGCUAACUCCGUGCCAGCAGCCGCGGUAAUACGGAGGGGGCAAGCGUUACUCGGAAUUAUUGGGCGUAAAGGGCGCGUAGGCGGUCUCGUGCGUCAGGGGUGAAAUACCCGGGCUUAACCCGGGAACUGCCUCUGAUACGGCGGGACUUGAGUCCGGGAGAGGGGAGCAGAAUUCCCAGUGUAGCGGUGAAAUGCGUAGAUAUUGGGAGGAAUACCAGUGGCGAAGGCGGCUCCCUGGACCGGUACUGACGCUGAGGCGCGAAAGCGUGGGUAGCAAACA